This 26-nucleotide non-coding RNA is filed under the name Homo sapiens (human). Lineage: Eukaryota; Metazoa; Chordata; Mammalia; Primates; Hominidae. The record is from RNAcentral.
UUGGGUAUACGUAAUAAGCAGGGAUC